Phrynosoma platyrhinos (Desert horned lizard) is the source of this 72-nucleotide non-coding RNA. NCBI's taxonomy places the organism in Eukaryota, Metazoa, Chordata, Lepidosauria, Squamata, Phrynosomatidae. The record is from the annotation of a GenBank genome assembly.
GCCAGGGUGGCAUAGUGAUUUGAUUGUUCUACUCUGACUCUGGAGACCAGGGUUCAAUUCCCAGCUUGGUCC